RNAcentral lists this ribosomal RNA (468 nucleotides) under uncultured bacterium. RNAcentral describes it as "partial 16S ribosomal RNA". It matches the Rfam family "Bacterial small subunit ribosomal RNA", at positions 28 to 507 of the family's 1533-position model. The record is from RNAcentral.
GACGAACGCUGGCGGCGUGCUUAACACAUGCAAGUCGAACGGAAAGGCCCUGCUUUUGUGGGGUGCUCGAGUGGCGAACGGGUGAGUAACACGUGAGUAACCUGCCCUUGACUUUGGGAUAACUUCAGGCAACUGGGGCUAAUACCGGAUAGGAGCUCCUGCUGCAUGGUGGGGGUUGGAAAGUUUCGGCGGUUGGGGAUGGACUCGCGGCUUAUCAGCUUGUUGGUGGGGUAGUGGCUUACCAAGGCUUUGGCGGGUAGCCGGCCUGGGAGGGUGACCGGCCACAUUGGGCCUGCGAUACGGCCCAGACUCCUACGGGAGGCAGCAGUGGGGAAUAUUGCACAAUGGGCGGAAGCCUGAUGCAGCAACGCCGCGUGCGUGAUGACGGCCUUCGGGUUGGAAACCGCUUUCGCCUGUGACGAAGCUUGAGUGACGGUAAUGGGUAAAGAAGCACCGGCUAACUACGUG